Molecule: long non-coding RNA, 1912 nt
Filed under: Gallus gallus (chicken)
Lineage: Eukaryota; Metazoa; Chordata; Aves; Galliformes; Phasianidae
Description: lncRNA (ENSGALG00010000562.1)
Source: RNAcentral
GCAACAAGUUUUUUGCAUGAGCAGUGUAUUGAACGCCACCUGGUUUCCCCACGGACGCGUAGCCCAUGUCUGAUCACUCUGUGACACUUCUGUCCUUGAUGAGUCCUCCAUCACGCUGGGGCUGAGCAAAGCAUCAGACCAUGGCUGGGGAGGGAUCUGCAGCUCUGGCAGGUGACACGGGAGAAAUAGGAAAACAGGAGGGCUGAACACUGCUGUUUCCCUGCAUCUCCAGCCAGCAGCGGCUGUGGGCUUCUUCUGAGCUCGUGGACUUCCUCCUCCAAGGCACUUCCAGCAGCAGUUACCUAGAGGAAAGCACAAGGGCAGACUGAGCGUGUUUCUUCGGAUAGUUUUACAGCAUGCUGGUGGCCAGCAGGAUUGUUUGAAGGAGGAGAAACCUGCUUCAUGCAUCCCAUGUCCCUGCAUCUUCUGGAAGCUGGACAGGUUCCGCAGCUCUCGAUGCCCUCUCCAAGCAGGAGUCCUGGGCUGAUGGAAGUGGGCAGUGUCUUCUCCAGAAGCACCCAGCCAGCCCUGCGGAAGGUGUGUGUCUGUGAUCACGUGAGGGCUGCAGUGAUGCUCUCGUGUUUCAGAAGCUGAGCUACGUUUCAGAAAGGAGGGGAGCCAGCUAACAAAAGAAAUCCAGAGAAGAGCAAAAAGCGUUGUGUUUAUGAAGAACAAUUGAACAGGCCAGACAUCUCCAGCCUGUGAGGGAUACAGCAGAGGUCUAUAAAAUCAUGAGUGGCCUGGAAAAAAAUGAAUUGAUUGCUGCUCUUACCUGUUUCCAGAAAAAGCACUUUCAGAAGAAACCAAAGCUCCAGGAGCUCGUGUUCAAGAAGUGAAACGGAGCCAACAUCUGAUUAAGGCAGAUUCGGUCAGGUCAGGGAAAUGAGCUUCCCCAGGGACUUUCUACUGCUGCUGAAAGAGCUCAAGGUUUAAGACUCCUAUCUGCCCCACAGAAACAGAAAUGAUGGGAAUGUGGUUGCCACAGAUGAGAUGACCCAGCUACCUGGAAGAGAAACAACAGAGUCUCAGGAGAAUGUGGGCAGCAAGGGGUUUUCUUGAAGAUGCUCACAGCAGAGAACCCUCCAAGUAUGGAGUAAAAAGCCAGUUCUGUACUGUAAAGCAAUAGAUUCCAGCAGCCAAAGAGGGAAAAGAAAUGAUUGCCAACGUGCUUUCCCUCCAGCAAGCUGGAAAGUAAAUUUGAAACUGAGUGUGAACAGUAAGCAGCUCGUGUGGUGAGUCAGAGUGAGGUCUUGCAUUAGAAUUGAAAAGUCAUAGUGUACAUUUCUGCUCAUGAGUGAAACCUGGACUUCCUUUUCAGUGCCUUCUUAGGACAUGCCAGCCCUGUCAGCAGUCAUGGCCUGGUCUUAGAAAUGAAACUUAUUUUGUUAGGCCCUGCCUUGGGUCACUGCCCAUGGCGGCCUGUCUCUUUUGCAUCGUGCCAUCUUCACUUGUGGGAGCAAUGGGCUUGGUUUUGGAUCUCGUUCUAACCACUGUUUAUGCAGCCACCUCCUUGUGCCAAACCAAGCUGGACUCCAAGGCCACGUCUGUGCUCUCUGGAACAGCACUGGUGCAAUCUUGGUGAGUAACACUGCUUCCCAAGCCAGCUUGGCUGGAAAGCAGCUUCCCAGGCUUUUUUGUGCAGGCAGCCAGUUAAGAUGUUACCCAGAGCCUGCUGGACUAUUCCAGCUACCAGAUCUUACUGUAGACAGUCUACAGGAAGGUGAUUUCUAUGCUUUCUCUGUUCGUAGUUAUCCUAUAAAUACAUUGGUCUGGAUUAUCUAUGUUUUUUCAAGUCCUCUCAAGGCAUUACUGUACAAGUAGUAAAAGUUAUCAAAACUAACUAAAAAGCUUAACUUUGUUGACCUCUCCCACCCUUUGUGCUCCAACAGGGCACUUUUCCCCCUGUGUCCCC